AUUGAACGCUGGCGGAAUGCUUUACACAUGCAAGUCGAACGGCAGUACGGACUUCGGUCUGGUGGCGAGUGGCGAACGGGUGAGUAAUGUAUCGGAACGUGCCCAGUCGUGGGGGAUAACGUAGUGAAAAUUACGCUAAUACCGCAUACGAUCUAUGGAUGAAAGCGGGGGAUCGCAAGACCUCGCGCGAUUGGAGCGGCCGAUAUCAGAUUAGGUAGUUGGUGGGGUAAGGGCCCACCAAGCCAACGGUCUGUAGCUGGUCUGAGAGGACGACCAGCCACACUGGAACUGGGACACGGUCAAGACUCGUACGGGAGGCAGCAGUGGGGAAUUUUGGACAAUGGGCGAAAGCCUGAUCCAGCCAUUCCGCGUGCAGGAUGAAGGCCCUCGGGUUGUAAACUGCUUUUGUACAGAACGAAAAGGUUUCUACUAAUACUAGGAGCUCAUGACGGUACUGUAAGAAUAAGCACCGGCUAACUACGUGCCAGCCGCCGCAGUAA
Molecule: ribosomal RNA, 500 nt
Filed under: uncultured bacterium
Lineage: Bacteria
Description: partial 16S ribosomal RNA
Rfam family: Bacterial small subunit ribosomal RNA
Source: RNAcentral